RNAcentral lists this long non-coding RNA (496 nucleotides) under Chloebia gouldiae (Gouldian finch). Its description in RNAcentral is "Erythrura gouldiae (Gouldian finch) lncRNA (ENSEGOG00005003707.1)". Lineage: Eukaryota; Metazoa; Chordata; Aves; Passeriformes; Passeridae. The record is from RNAcentral.
CCAGUGUUUUUCACAAUGCUGAUGGUGCUGCUCCUGGAUGGUGGCUUCUGUCACAGUCAUCACUUAGACAACAUUACCAGGACAAAAAUGAAGAAACUCAGGCUGAAUAAACUCAGUGAAAUAUUUUGUUUCCUGUGACUUUCAGGAAGCAAAGACAACUGUCCCCACUGGUGCCAUGCAGCAGAAGACCAGAGCUGACCACUGCCUGUAUCUGCACAUUCCAACAGCAAAGUGCAGAGAACUGAGGGGAGAAAAAUAUCUAGACCUGAGAAUUCCAGAUUAUGGGAGUUGAGGAACACAGUCAAUGGCGUGGCUCUGCUGUCACUCACUUGGGACAUCCUCUCCAGAGAAACUGCUCCAAAGUCAUUCAAGACCUACACACAAACUCAAGCUCAGAGACUGGCUAUCUCCUGCCUUCAGAAUGAAUUUGUCUUUCCUUGGUAUCUUCUCCCAUCUGGCUCAUAAAGAAUUCCUGAGGAACUCCUGAGAACAGAAG